AGUGAACGCUGGCGGUAGGCCUAACACAUGCAAGUCGAACGGCAGCACAGUAAGAGCUUGCUCUUACGGGUGGCGAGUGGCGGACGGGUGAGGAAUACAUCGGAAUCUACUUUUUCGUGGGGGAUAACGUAGGUAAACUUACGCUAAUACCGCAUACGACCUACGGUUGAAAGCAUGGGAUCUUCGGACCUUGCGCGAUUGAAUGAGCCGCUGUCGGAUUAGCUAGUUGGCGGGGUAAAGGCCCACCAAGGCGACGAUCCGUAGCUGGUCUGAGAGGAUGAUCAGCGACACGGGAAGUGAGACACGGUCCAGACUCCUACGGGAGGCAGCAGUGGGGAAUAGUGGACAAUGGGGGCAAGCAUGAUACAGCCAUACCGAGUGGGUGAAGAAGGCCUUCGGGUUGUAAAGACCUUUUGUUGGGAAAGAAAAGCAGCAGGUUAAGACCCCGCUGUUGUGACGGUACCCAAAGAAGAAGCACCGGCUAACUUCGUG
Molecule: ribosomal RNA, 492 nt
Filed under: uncultured bacterium
Lineage: Bacteria
Description: partial 16S ribosomal RNA
Rfam family: Bacterial small subunit ribosomal RNA
Source: RNAcentral